RNAcentral lists this long non-coding RNA (281 nucleotides) under Mustela putorius furo (domestic ferret). RNAcentral's name for it is "lncRNA (ENSMPUG00000029649.1)". Lineage: Eukaryota; Metazoa; Chordata; Mammalia; Carnivora; Mustelidae. The record is from RNAcentral.
UGACUACUGAGACACAGAGAAACUUGGUGCCCAGAGAAGAAUGAGGGGAAACAAGAGCCUGCGUGUGUGUCCCAUGGUAAACAAUGAGGCCGGAAGCAUCCAUCUGGAAGGCAGUCAAAACAAACAACUGCCCGAUGAAAUGCUGGGGUCCCUGUGUUCUCAAAGAUUAAACCAGUUGGAAUAUCAUUUCAGUUUGAAUGAAAACAGAGCUCCUUCCCUGACAUGGAAAUUUUGAGAAACGCAAACUGGAGAGAUGGUCUGGGUGCACCUUUGAUGACCCA